RNAcentral lists this ribosomal RNA (440 nucleotides) under uncultured bacterium. RNAcentral's name for it is "partial 16S ribosomal RNA". It matches the Rfam family "Bacterial small subunit ribosomal RNA", at positions 338 to 795 of the family's 1533-position model. The record is from RNAcentral.
CCUACGGGAGGCAGCAGUGGGGGAUAUUGCACAAUGGGGGGAACUCUGAUGCAGCGACGCCGCGUGGGUGAAGAAGCGCCUCGGCGCGUAAAGCCCUGUCAGCAGGGAAGAAAAUGACGGUACCUGAAUAAGAAGCCCCGGCUAACUACGUGCCAGCAGCCGCGGUACUACGUAGGGGGCAAGCGUUAUCCGGAUUUACGGGGUGUAAAGGGGGCGCAGACGGCGAUGCAAGCCAGGAGUGAAAGCCCGGGGCCCAACCCCGGGACUGCUCUUGGAACUGCGUGGCUGGAGUGCAGGAGGGGCAGGCGGAAUUCCUGGUGUAGCGGUGAAAUGCGUAGAUAUCAGAAGGAACACCGGUGGCGAAGGCGGCCUGCUGGACUGCAACUGACGUUGAGGCCCGAAAGCGUGGGGAGCAAACAGGAUUAGAUACCCUUGUAGUC